Molecule: long non-coding RNA, 1038 nt
Organism: Paralichthys olivaceus (Japanese flounder)
Lineage: Eukaryota; Metazoa; Chordata; Actinopteri; Pleuronectiformes; Paralichthyidae
Source: RefSeq, a predicted model, not a curated record
ACCCUUGCAACACGCCCUAAACCCCCCCGCCGCCGCGCCUUUGCCUCCAAAAUCAACCCUCGUCCACCACAACAAUCAGUGCGCGUUCAAACUCACGCAUUUAUUUUGAUAUUCACGCACCAGCUGGUGUUGUUUCCCCCGCUUUGCUCCGGGUCUAUUUCGGCUCAAGUGGGGAGGGGUCAUAGUAGAGUAAAGAGCUGCCAUUGACUGGAGACGUGUGAAAAACACUAACAAAUGCUCCAAGUUCCGUAUGUUGCCAGGUUUGCAGCAAUUUCUGGAUAAAUGGGAAAAAAGGCGCACAGGUGCAGCAGCUUACCUCGAGCUCUCUGCAGACUCUGACAUCUCAGACUGCGCACAAACAGAGUUUGCUGAAUAUGCUGCACAGGCCACAGAAGUCAAGACGUUGGAUUUGUGGUCAGAAAUAAGAGAAGUUCCGAAGAGCAGCCUGUGAGUCAGGAGGAAGGACGCCACACCACCACCUGACGAAUUCAACAGUCACUGAGACAACUGUGCGAGGAGAGCCCUGUGCAUUCAAGUGCUCGAUACAACAAUCAAAUAACACGUCUAUGUACACACUGAGUCUUGAUUGAUUACGGAGGUGGUUGUUGGAAAAAUGUACAGCAACACACACAGGAAACCGCUUGGCAAAUCCAUUUAACAUUUCACUCUCAUCCACUGCUUCUUAUUUUUUAUUUCUCUGGUUAACCCCCUUUCUUUUUCUUUCCUUAUAAAACUGCAUGAACUUGCUUUAAACAGCGUCCUUUUAUCCUAAAGUAGAGAAUGAUGUGACAUAUGAAACAACAUGUGUUGCACUGGAUGUCUCACAUAUCGAAGUGCAGUGUGUUUGUGAGUUAUCUCACAUAAACCAACAGUGAAUUAGCAGAACAGUUACUGGGUGCACUGCUGUGAUAAGGUUUAUUAUAACAGACAAUAGAGGCAGAGGUCCACAUAUCUACAUGGCUGAUUGAAUACUUGUAAAAUGCAUGAAUACAGCAGUUUGUAUUAUGAUGGGUUGUGUGAAUAAAACUAUUAACAUUG